Molecule: long non-coding RNA, 229 nt
Organism: Helianthus annuus (common sunflower)
Lineage: Eukaryota; Viridiplantae; Streptophyta; Magnoliopsida; Asterales; Asteraceae
Exons: 3
Source: RefSeq, a predicted model, not a curated record
CCUUUGGAAGUCAAUUUACAUGGAAGAUGGCAAAGUGUAUGCAACAAGAUGGCUCUUGGGAGUGUGGAUAUUUGGUAAUAAGAAACAUGUUCAACUUUGUUCUCGAAAAGCAAUAUGAUUUUCCGAAAAAGAUUUGGAACGACACAAGAGAUGUCACUGAAGCGGAAAUCGAUGACUUGGUUAAGAACAUCAUGACUCAGUUUGUCAGAGAAGUGCUUAAUGAUACCAC